This is an RNA transcript of Myzus persicae (green peach aphid), 1564 nucleotides long. RefSeq lists it as uncharacterized. The transcript is spliced from 4 exons. The record is from RefSeq and is a predicted model, not a curated record. Lineage: Eukaryota; Metazoa; Arthropoda; Insecta; Hemiptera; Aphididae.
UGGGUAAGUCAAUAGCGUUAGUUAAUAUCUUAUGUUAUGGUCGAAGGUUAAUAUAAUAAAAAGAAAAUCAUUAAAAAGAUAUUUAUAGAACAAUUUAAGGACAAUCCGGUUAUCGUUUUAUCUAGAAUUAUUAUUUCGAGAAUUGUUUUCGCCACCAUUUCCCUCUCUGGAAUCCGGCUAACUAUGGAAUUACAAUUACUAUUACUGAUGGUCUGUAGGUCUGUUAGAGACGUUAGAGUUCCAUAGUCUGGACUUUUAAGUUUUAACUGCACGUCUGCACAGAAACCUGACGAUCUGAAGACGCAGUUCAUUUCUCGAUGAUCAUUUUACGUUGUGCUGUCUGUGAUUAUUAAGUUAUCCAUAGUUUUAUAUAUACAUGUAUACUUAUUUCGUAUAUGAGUUAUAAGUUUUAUUAUAUAGCUGCGGUUAUAUUUAACUUCAUACCACAUCAAAAACACGACAGAAAACAAAUCAAAGAUGAUUAACCUUCUGUGUGUUGCCUGUGGCGAAUGCCAAAGAUUAUACUGAACUCCAAAAUUAUUAUCAACCUUCAACUAACAAUGAGCAAUGAAUUUCACAGAACAGUGCGGCUACCUACUGCUAUAUUACAAGCUAACAACAGUUUUAUACCAGAAUCUAGUACUGAUGCACAAGAGAUAUCCAACACACAAUCAUCAAUGUUUAUGAAUGUUAUACCUAGUUAAGUCCACAAACACAUAUCACAACAUUCAAUUUAUUUGACAAUAUUCAGAGUCAAAAUUCAAGUGUAGAAAAUCAAAAUAAUACUUUUGUGAAUAAUGAUGACCAAAUGGAUUUGCUGCAUCAUAUUUCACCGGAGCAAAUGAAGAUCAAAUCAGUGCUCAAUCGCAUUUCUUCAAAUUUGGAUAAUUCGGAUGUAAAUUCUAUAUACAAUACUAGUACUUGUUUAGAAACAGAUUUUUUAAGCAAUUUUUCAAUAAAUAACCUAGGCAAAUUUAAUGGAGGUAAUGAUUUUAUUUUGAAUGAUUUGGGAUUUGUUGAUAAAUUGGUAUGUACCUAGGUAACAAUUAAUAAUCAUGAUAAAUUAAUUUGGAUGAAUACUAAGUUUGUGUUUUUUAAAGGCAUAUUUUUUUUAGUCUAUUGGAGGAAAUUAUCAAAAGAAUCAUAUUAACAGAUAUUUUUCUCUGAUGAAUUUGCAGUAAAAUGUUCAUGGACUGAGAGAGGAAAAAGUAUAAAUACUUAAGUGGAAAUUCAGAAAUAUUAAGUAUUUAAAAAAUUAAUUAACCUGUAGGGAAUUCUUCAAGAAGAAUAAUUGAUGGUUGUAAUUUAUUCAUAGGUAUUAACUUAAUAUAUUUGUAUGUGGUUUUCAAAAAAGUUGUCAAAGAGUCUACCAAGACCCAUGUAUUUACUGAUGUUAAAUAUGAAAAAGUUGUAUCAUACUGUCUUAGAUAUGCCAAUAAUAGAUUUAGUAGAGCAAAAAAAAAACAUUGAUUUCUAGUUUAAAGAAUAAGAUGUUAAAGAAAAUGUCAUUAUAUAUCCUGCUUUUAUAAUAUUAUAUAGAUUCAUUUGUAAAACUAAUAUUUAA